Molecule: long non-coding RNA, 640 nt
Organism: Ailuropoda melanoleuca (giant panda)
Lineage: Eukaryota; Metazoa; Chordata; Mammalia; Carnivora; Ursidae
Exons: 2
Source: RefSeq, a predicted model, not a curated record
AGCUGUCCUAGAGCGGCCCCACCAGCGGCUACUUCCGGCCUCCAAGGCCAGGAAGACUCUAGCUCCCCGGAGCCGGGCGGCUGGUGGGGAGGGGAUUUUGGGUCCCUGGCCCUGCUCCCGGCUCCCUGCUGAGGAACGGGGGUGUCUCCGGCCCGCGCCGAGGCCCAAAUGCCUAGACGUGUUGCGGGAUACCGGUAGCCACCUGGGUUCGCUCGAUGAGGUCCGGCCGUCUGGGAUCUGUGAAAAGGGAAAGGGACGGAUGGGAUGCGCAGGUCUGAGUGCCAGACUGGCCCCCAACUCCUCCUGCCCUAGGAUGACUUCGUUUCCCGUGACCCCCGCGAGAUCUGCCUAACUGAAAUUUACAACUGAGCCUCUACCGCCCGGCUCCUCCGUGGUGCGCCAAGACUUCUGCAAAAUGUUCAGUACCUGUGUAUCACAGUGUGAAAACCCCUGGCAUGCUAACCGCCAAUUCAAACCCCAUCCCUCCCUACAGGAGAAUGACCCCAUUGGCUCCAGCUACAAGGAAUCUUUGGUUUUUUUGGACACACAUCUGUCUUAACGGUAAUCUAACGUCUUUCAAUGCCCUUUUCAAAUGCCGUCCCUAAAAAAUUCCUCCUGGAGCUCUUCUGCCCCAUGCAGG